Molecule: unclassified non-coding RNA, 329 nt
Filed under: soil metagenome
Description: partial contains 5.8S ribosomal RNA, internal transcribed spacer 2, and large subunit ribosomal RNA
Rfam family: 5.8S ribosomal RNA (bases 1-119)
Source: RNAcentral
GAUGAAAACGUAGCGAAAUGCGAUAAGUAAUGUGAAUUGCAGAAUUCAGUUAAUCAUCGAAUCUUUGAACGCACAUUGCGCCCCUUGGUAUUCCGAGGGGCAUGCCUGUUCGAGCGUCAUUAUAACCCCUCAAGCUUAGCUUGGUGUUGGGGCCUGCUGUAAUAGAGCAGCCCUUAAAAUCAGUGGCGGUGCCAUUAGGCUCUAAGCGUAGUAAUUCUUCUCGCUAUAGGGUUCUGGUGGAUGCUUGCCAUUAACCUCUAAUUUUCUAUGGUUGACCUCGGAUCAGGUAGGGAUACCCGCUGAACUUAAGCAUAUCAAUAAGCGGAGGA